GUGCUUCGACAGCACUUAUACUAAAAAUGGAACGAUGCAGAGAAGAUUAGCAUGGCUCCUGCAUAAGGAUGACACACAUAUUCAUGAAGCAUUUUAUUUUUUC
Molecule: small nuclear RNA, 103 nt
Organism: Ornithorhynchus anatinus (platypus)
Lineage: Eukaryota; Metazoa; Chordata; Mammalia; Monotremata; Ornithorhynchidae
Source: RefSeq, a predicted model, not a curated record